RNAcentral lists this unclassified non-coding RNA (3643 nucleotides) under Leishmania donovani. Its description in RNAcentral is "gene:LdHU3.09.0570(CDS-product:kinetoplastid_kine tochore_protein_10_putative)". Lineage: Eukaryota; Euglenozoa; Kinetoplastea; Trypanosomatida; Trypanosomatidae. The record is from RNAcentral.
UCGAGAGAAGCCCACAGUCGCCCGUGCGUGCGAGCUCGUCGUCAAGCACACGCAUACGCAUACACGAGCUGCCUUGUACGACCUCUCUUGCUCCCUCCCGUAGUCUUAUUUUCCGCACGAGUGGUGGCCAUCAUUGCUGUCACGAGUACUGCUGCCGUCCUUGCGCCCCUCCUCCCCCCUUCCUUCACCUCACUUGAUAUCUCUUCGCUGCACCCUGUAUACGUGUAUCGCGCCCGUAGACCGUCUUCUUGCCACCCUCCCCCCUCCCUCACCCAACACCUUUCCUUCUGCCUCCUUACCCCCUCGUUAGGUUUACGUCUCGGGUUUUUGAGCACUUCCGUACGACACCGGCCCCACGUCACCUCGCCCCCUCCCCCUCCACCCACCCUCGCGGCUUCUCUGCCGCGGUCAGGAAGCCUACGCGCCUCAUCACCAGGCAGGCAAGAAUACCGUGAGAACUCGCCGACAAGUCCGCCACAGCCUACAGCAGGCAUCAUGGAUUCCUCUUCCGCAGCCGCUGAUGCUGGUGGCGCUGCUGCGCGAUCUGGGCUGCAUGUGUACUCCAGCGCGCAGGCGAACGCCGCCGGCUCCGGGACGGCGGCGCUGCCCAACAAGGCGCUGGAUCAUAUGAAGCACAUGUCGCGCAGCAAGAGCGACGCACGGCGAUCGGGUAGCAAGCGCACCUUCGAUGAAGCCACCGCGACGGACAACGUGCAGCUACGCCGUCACGAUGGCACGGCGGUGCCGAACACUGCACCAAACCAGGUGGUGGAGGUGGUGGCGCCGCCUCCCAAGAAGAAGAAGGUGACGUACGCGCUGCCGCACCAGAACAUGGAGGAGGGCCACUUCUACGUGGUGCUCGGCGAGGACAUCGACGUGUCGACGCAGCGCUUCAAGAUCCUGUCGCUGCUCGGCGAGGGCACCUUCGGCAAGGUGGUGGAGUCGUGGGACCGCAAGCGCAAGGAGUACUGCGCGGUGAAGAUCGUGCGCAACGUGCCCAAGUACACGCGCGACGCCAAGAUCGAGAUUCAGUUCAUGGAGAAGGUGCGCCAGGCGGACCCUGCCGACCGGUUCCCGCUGAUGAAGAUCCAGCGCUAUUUCCAGAACGACAGCGGCCACAUGUGCAUUGUCAUGCCCAAGUACGGCCCCUGCCUGCUGGACUGGAUCAUGAAGCACGGCCCCUUCAACCACCGCCACCUCGCGCAGAUCGUCUUCCAGACCGGCGUCGCGCUCGACUACUUCCACAGCGAGCUGCACCUCAUGCACACAGACCUCAAGCCCGAGAACAUCCUCAUGGAGACCAGCGACACCACCGUCGACCCCGCCACCAACCGCCACCUGCCGCCCGACCCGUGUCGCGUCCGCAUCUGCGACCUCGGCGGCUGCUGCGACGAGCGCCAUAGCCGCACCGCCAUCGUCUCCACGCGCCACUACCGCAGCCCCGAGGUCAUCCUCGGCCUCGGCUGGAUGUACUCCACCGACAUGUGGUCCAUGGGCUGCAUCAUCUACGAGCUCUACACCGGCAAGCUGCUCUACGACACGCACGACAACCUCGAGCACCUGCACCUCAUGGAGAAGACGCUCGGCCGCCUGCCGUCCGAGUGGGCCGCGCGCUGCGGCACGGAGGAGGCGCGCCUGCUGUACAACUCCGCCGGCCAGCUGCGGCCCUGCACCGACCCCAAGCACCUCGCCCGCAUCGCGCGCGCGCGGACGGUGCGCGACGUCAUCCGCGACGACCUGCUGUGCGACCUCAUCUACGGCCUGCUGCACUACGACCGCCAGAAGCGCCUCAACGCGCGCCAGAUGACCACGCACCCCUACGUGCUCAAGUACUACCCCGAGGCGCGCCAGGCGCCCAGCUACCCCGACAACCGCGCCAUGCUGCGCCCGCCGCCGAUCAUGUAGUGCCGACGGAAGCGUCCUGGGCGGCAUUGCGCAGGAGGACACCUUUUAGAAGGAAUUUAGAGGUGCGUUGCUGUUCGGACGAGGGCGUCAGUCUGUGUGCGUCUCUGAUACCGUUGAAGUGCGGCGAGUACUUUUCUGUUGUUUGGCUUGAGGGGCAGAGGAUGUGCACACGAGCGCGCACACACACACUGUCUCUGUUUGAGACACACCUAAAGGGGGGGAGUUGUAGCAAGUGAGCCAAUGAGCGUAUCACCAGCGAUGCCGGGCGGCACGCCAGGAUGUCUGUGCGUGUGUUUAUGUAUGGGUGUGUGUGUGCAUGUUGUACACAUAUGCAUGUGCAUGUAGGGCGUGCGCGUGAUAUGCCGGCCGCUUUCCACCUUCGCUUCGUCCUACCGUCUGUGUCAUGUAGGUGGUGGUGAGGAUGUGUGCGUGUGUGUGUUAGCCCUCUCCAUUUCACAAAGGUCUGCGGUUUGCUUGGGAUUGUCAGCGCCUCCCCUCCUCUCUGUCUCUCCGUCUGCCCCUUCCUCUCUCCCCCUCCCCUCCUCUCCUUUCUAUAGAUUCAUCGACGUCGGUUCCGUUGUCCUCUCCUUCCCACUGUUUCCUGUCGGUGUCGGUGUACGUCUGUUCGGGUUGGUACAUGUGCUGGGUGCAGCAGGUGGCUGUCUCCGCCCCCUCCCCCUCCCUCCUUCCGGGAGUGCAGCUGGUACGAAAAGCUGUUAAACAGGAGGCACAGACAUGCAGGGGAAGCCCCUAGCCCCCCCCCGUUCCUCUUGCCUGCUUGGUUUCGAGUAUAGUUGUCUGCCUAGAUGCUCUCCCCCCUCCUCCCCCAACCCCAUUUUUUUCUUAUGGCUGCACACGCCCUCGUGCGCUUGUCGGUUCAUGUUCAGUUGUUCCGGUUGUACGACGUCCCUCUCUCUGUGUAUAGGUAUAUCGGUGCCUGAGUCUCUCUGUACGCUCCCCUCCCCUUCCCUCCCUCCCUUCCCCCGAAUCUUCUCCUUCCCUCUUUCUUCUCUCGUUGCCUGUCCUCGGUCACCCCUCACCGCCGCUCUCACUUCGAUGUCCUCCUGCUCCUCCGUGCAAGGUGCGCGGGAGUGGGAGGAAGGGGGGAGUGUGGGGCGGCGGUAGCAGGCGCACGACCUUUCGAGACGGGGAAGCGAGGAGGCGAGCAGCACAUCCAAAACAAACAGUCAAGAAAAGGCGGUGAGCAUGCCGGGCGCAUGUGGUGCGUGGGGCGUCGACUUCAAGAGCGUUGUAGAAGAGGGAAGACGGACAAAAGCCAGCACACGCCUGUACAUGUGUGGAUGGGUGUGAGUGUACCUGCCGCGCAUCCGCAUCUCCCUCGUGUGGAGGUGUGACUACUUCUCCCCUCCCCCUCCCUCAGCCCACCUCGCGCCGUUCACGUCACACCACGACCCGUCGGCGCUGGUGUUUCUCAUCGCUGAUGGCGGUUAUGUCACGGAUGGCGUUGAGCAUGUGCUUGAACUGUUUUCCCCUCUCGCCUUUUCGACCUCUGCGCACCCCACCCAUCAUGAGAGUGUGGUUCAGAGCUGCUGCGCGGGCUGUGCCUCGCACGUCUGUGGCUGAGCUUGUGUGUGCGUGUGUGAGGGCACGCGCGUGCAUGGCAGACGGCCUCGAAACAGCGACAGCGCGCUGUCGGUGCGUUUUUUUUUCUGAUCUCUGUGCAUGCCUCUUUCUCUUCACCUCUUCCGUGUUGUCUCUCCCCUUUCGCUCUCUGGAG